Molecule: non-coding RNA, 84 nt
Filed under: unclassified sequences
Description: c-di-GMP sequence
Rfam family: c-di-GMP-II-GAG riboswitch aptamer
Source: Rfam by way of RNAcentral
GACGAAGCGGGAGGCUCCGACGCGCGGCCCACACCCCGGCCGCCGGGACCGCGCCGAGCCACUGGCGAGACCGACCCGCGAGUG